GACGAACGCUGGCGGCGUGCUUAACACAUGCAAGUCGAACGGAAAGGCCCUGCUUUUGUGGGGUGCUCGAGUGGCGAACGGGUGAGUAACACGUGAGUAACCUGCCCUUGACUUUGGGAUAACUUCAGGAAACUGGGGCUAAUACCGGAUAGGAGCUCCUGCUGCAUGGAGGGGGUUGGAAAGUUUCGGCGGUUGGGGAUGGACUCGCGGCUUAUCAGCUUGUUGGUGGGGUAGUGGCUUACCAAGGCUUUGACGGGUAGCCGGCCUGAGAGGGUGACCGGCCACAUUGGGCCUGAGAUACGGCCCAGACUCCUACGGGAGGCAGCAGUGGGGAAUAUUGCACAAUGGGCGGAAGCCUGAUGCAGCAACGCCGCGUGCGGGAUGACGGCCUUCGGGUUGUAAACCGCUUUCGCCUGUGACGAAGCGUGAGUGACGGUAAUGGGUAAAGAAGCACCGGCUAACUACGUG
RNAcentral lists this ribosomal RNA (468 nucleotides) under uncultured bacterium. RNAcentral's name for it is "partial 16S ribosomal RNA". It matches the Rfam family "Bacterial small subunit ribosomal RNA", at positions 28 to 507 of the family's 1533-position model. The record is from RNAcentral.